UCAGGACGAACGCUGGUGGCGUGCUUAACACAUGCAAGUCGAACGGUGAAGCCCAGCUUGCUGGGUGGAUCAGUGGCGAACGGGUGAGUAACACGUGAGCAACCUGCCCCCCACUUCGGGAUAAGCCUUGGAAACGAGGUCUAAUACCGGAUAUGAGCACUUACCGCAUGGUGGGUGUUGGAAAGUUUUUCGGUGGGGGAUGGGCUCGCGGCCUAUCAGCUUGUUGGUGGGGUAAUGGCCUACCAAGGCGUCGACGGGUAGCCGGCCUGAGAGGGCGACCGGCCACACUGGGACUGAGACACGGCCCAGACUCCUACGGGAGGCAGCWGUGGGGAAUAUUGCACAAUGGGCGAAAGCCUGAUGCAGCGACGCCACGUGAGGGAUGACGGCCUUCGGGUUGUAAACCUCUUUCAGCAGGGAAGAAGCGCAAGU
RNAcentral lists this ribosomal RNA (432 nucleotides) under Promicromonospora sp. R-45892. RNAcentral describes it as "bacterial SSU rRNA". It matches the Rfam family "Bacterial small subunit ribosomal RNA", at positions 24 to 457 of the family's 1533-position model. Lineage: Bacteria; Bacillati; Actinomycetota; Actinomycetes; Micrococcales; Promicromonosporaceae. The record is from RNAcentral.